UAUAUAUAUAAAGAGAGAGAGAAAGAGAAAAGGGUUAUGUGAAAAGUUCUUAAAUUGCUGUGUUUAAUCGAACUUCAUCUUGUCUUGCAUAUCAUAUUGCUCGGUACAUCUCUGCACAACAUGUUCAAACUGUUUGUGUUGGCCACAGUAGUGCUCUACUGUAACGGCUGCUUCUCUCCCAAUUUAGACCUCACGGAUGACGGAUGUGUUGACGUGGAUGGAGCUAUCCACAACUAUGACACUUCCUGGGAGGAUGGAACUUACACCUGUGUAUGUUUCACCACAGGGCCCAAGUGUUGCCCAAGAGAAGGUGAUGUAUUCUGAGGAUGAAAAACGAUUCUGGAGGUUUCUGGGGAGGAUUCUGAUUACAUAAGUUUCAAAAUAAAGUUAAAGUUAAAUAAAAGUAAUAUACAUGUUUGACCAUA
Non-coding RNA from Paramisgurnus dabryanus, 425 nucleotides. NCBI's taxonomy places the organism in Eukaryota, Metazoa, Chordata, Actinopteri, Cypriniformes, Cobitidae. The record is from RefSeq and is a predicted model, not a curated record.